Molecule: transfer RNA, 76 nt
Filed under: Corynebacterium frankenforstense DSM 45800
Lineage: Bacteria; Bacillati; Actinomycetota; Actinomycetes; Mycobacteriales; Corynebacteriaceae
Description: tRNA-Glu
Rfam family: tRNA
About the family: Transfer RNA (tRNA) molecules are approximately 80 nucleotides in length. Their secondary structure includes four short double-helical elements and three loops (D, anti-codon, and T loops). Further hydrogen bonds mediate the characteristic L-shaped molecular structure. tRNAs have two regions of fundamental functional importance: the anti-codon, which is responsible for specific mRNA codon recognition, and the 3' end, to which the tRNAs corresponding amino acid is attached (by aminoacyl-tRNA synthetases). tRNAs cope with the degeneracy of the genetic code in two manners: having more than one tRNA (with a specific anti-codon) for a particular amino acid; and 'wobble' base-pairing, i.e. permitting non-standard base-pairing at the 3rd anti-codon position.
Source: RNAcentral
GCCCUGUUCGUCUAGGGGCCUAGGACGCCGCCCUCUCACGGCGGUAACACGGGUUCAAAUCCCGUACAGGGUACAA